AUCUGCCUGAGGAAGAGAAUAAUCCCGGGAAACUGGGGGUAAUGCUCUAUAGUCCGGGGGGACUGGAAUGUUCUCCGGAUGAAAGAUCCGUCGCUUCAGGAUGGGUCUGCGGCCGAUUAGGUAGUUGUUGGGGUAAAAGCCCAACAAGCCAGUGAUCGGUACGGGUUGUGGGAGCAAGAGCCCGGAGUUGGAUUUUGAGACACGAAUCCAGGUUUUACGGGGCGCAGCAGGCGCGAAAACUUUACAAUGCGGGCAACCGUGAUAAGGGAACUUCGAGUGCCUGUAUAUGCAGGCUGUCCACCAGUGUAAACAACUGGUGAAGAAAGGGCCGGGCAAGACCGGUGCCAGCCGCCGCGGUAAAUACCGGCGGCUCGAGUGGUGGCCAGCUUUUAUUGGGCUUAAAGCGUCCGUAGCUGGAUCCAUGGGUCCCUUGAGAAAUCCAGCAGCUUAACUGCUGGGCGUUCAGGGGAAACUGUGGUUCUAGGGACCGGGAGAGGUGAGGAGUACUGCGGGGGUUGGAAUUAAAUCCUGUAAUCCCCGUGGGACGACCUAUAGCGAAGGCGCCUCACCAGAACGGCUUCGACAGUGAGGGACGAAAGCUGGGGGAGCAAACCGGAUUAGAUACCCGGGUAGUCCCAGCCGUAAACGAUGUGCGUUAGGUGUAUCGAUGACCACGAGUCAUCGAGGUGCCGAAGGGAAACCGUGAAACGUACCGCCUGGGAAGUACGGUCGCAAGGCUGAAACUUAA
Molecule: ribosomal RNA, 748 nt
Filed under: uncultured archaeon
Lineage: Archaea
Description: bacterial SSU rRNA
Rfam family: Archaeal small subunit ribosomal RNA
Source: RNAcentral